AAAGGCAUGUGCCACCAAUGCCCGGCUAGAAGGGAUCUUCUAAAAGAUUUAUUAUUAUUUUUUGUAGGUGUGUGUGUGUGUCUACAUAUGGUUGUGUACAUGUGAGUGCAGGUACCUGUAUCAGUUUCUGUGGAGCUACAGUUUCGAAGUGGUUGUUAGCCCCCAUAUGGUCCUCUGGGAGAGCAGUAAGUGCCCUUAACUGCUAAACUUCCUCUCUAUUCCCCAGAAGGGAUUAAAAAAAAUUUAUGUGCUUUGGUAUUUUGCCUGCAUGUAUAUCUGUGUAAAACUGUUGGAUUCCCUGGAACUUAAGUUAUACAUAGUUGUGAACUGUCAAAUGGGCUCUGGAAAUUGAACCCAGGACCUCUGGAAGAACAGCCCUGAGCUGUAUCUCCAGUCCCCCCCCCCCACUCGAAGGAAUCUUUUAAGUUUUUAAAAUUUUUUUACAUUUUUAAUUGUGACUUAUACCUUGAGACAAAUUGAACAUUUGGCACAUUAAAGAAAGAACUUUCCUGCCUGAUAUUGUGAAGAACAAACCUAAUAUGGUUACUGCCUUUGGUAAUUUAUUCUUCAGCCUGAAAGAUAAUUAAGUGAUUCUAUGGAUUUGUUAUUAAGUAGGAAAUGCUGUAUGUAUGGCAAGUGACCUUGAUCUGUAGUUUAGUGAAUCAAGAUUUCACAUAAAUGGCAUUCAGGAGUCUUGGCUUUUUAUUGUAGUUCUGUUACUGCAGUAUGAUUGAACAAACCACUUAAACUUUGUGAAUUUCUUUCAUCUUUUAUAUUAAAAGAAAGAACGAAAAUUGAAUUGGAGUCUGCAAAAGAUACCUUAUAUCAGAUUAGGUUUCAAGAUCUACCAUAAAUGCAUUUAUUUAUGUUCAGAGGUUUCUUUCAAAAACAGUGAAGAUGACUCAUCUUCUUAUUAUGUGAUUAUUAGUCAAUAAUAAUAUAUAUAUCCUUUACUCAUAUAUAGCUUUGUGCCAAACAUAUAUGAACACACUUCUUUUACCAUUUUAAAAUCAGAUUUGAUGAUUGUUUAUAAUACACAUGAAGUUCUCAUUAAAAACAACAACAAAAAAAGAAAAUUAAAUUGGAAAAAGCAUAUUCCAUGUAGAUCCCUGUAUGGUCUCAUUCGUCAGGGUUUCAAAAGAUAAUUCCUUUGCAUCCAGAUUUUCUUUCCUGGAGAGUCAUGUUAACUAAACUAAUAAAUUGGAGAAUUAAGUUGCCAGUUUUCACUCACUGACACUUGCCCCUGUUUUUGGUGUAAUACUUAAAUCAUUCCUGAGUAAGGAAAUGAGGUUUAUUCUCCCUCCCUCCCACCCCCUCCCCUCCAUGUUUUUGAGACAUGACCUCAUACUAUAGCCAAAUCUGGGUUGGAACUCUAGCAGUCCAGUUAUCUCAGUCUCCCAGUUUUAGGGAUUGCAGUUUAGGGCCAUCACAUCUGGUUUGUGGCACCUUGAAAACCAUUCAUUCAAUCUUUGUAGACCUUCUCACAUCCCACUCUGGUUUUCAAUAAUGAAGAGUAGUUAUACAAGGUUUUGUGUUUUGUUUUUUGUGUUUUGUUUUGGUGUGUGUGUGUGUGUGUGUGUGUGUGUGUGUGUGUGUGUGUGUGUGUGUUGUGAGUGUGUUGUGUGAUACAAGAUCUCACUAUAUAUACCUGGCUGACUAGAAGACCAGGCUGGCCUCAAAUUUUGUGACAGUUCUCUCCCUUCUGUCUGAUGGAAUUAUAGGAAUGUACUACUGUAUUUCUUUUUGUAUCCCAGACUGUCCUGGAAUAUACUAUAUAGCCCAGGGUGGAACUUGUGAUAAUGGUUGGUCUUGGCUGCUCAUGCUAGAAUUAGACAUGAGCCAUUAUUCUAGGCUAAUGUCAGUAGUUUAAAAAAAAAAUUAAAAAUUUUUGUCUCUGUUAAUUUGACUCCUAAGGUAUUCCUGUGUCUUGGCAAGUCUGUAUUUGUUAAAUCUUGGAGCGAGUAUAUCUCCUUGUAAAAAUAGUGAAAUCUUUAGAGUUUAAAAUUUCACACAGAAUCCAAGUGAGUUUUUGAACUGGCUUGUGACAGUAAUCCUGUGUCCCAUGCCUAAACUCUCAUUUUUGCUGAGGGCUUUUUCUUGCCGGUGUUUGCCUCAUUCUUACUCCAGUUUUUCUGUCCUCAUAAUUUCUAUUUCCUUACAUUUACUUUUAUUUCUCUUAGAGACUUUUUGUUCAGAUUUGGAUUGUCUUUAGUUAAAAUUCAAAUUUUAAUUUUAUUCUAGCAUAAUGUCAUGGUAUAAGAAAAGUCAGAUACAUAGAUGAACAAGUCAGGUGUUGUGGGUCGUACCUGCUUCCCAGCACCCAGGAGGCUAAGAUAGAAAGAUUUCCUGGGCUGCAUAUGAAUUCCAGUCCAGCCUGGGGUAUAGAUUGAGGUCCUGUAUCAAAACAGACAUGAAAAACAUGGGGGAAGAAAAAGGAACCCAAAUUAUAUCAGUAUUCAGGUUUAAUUCCUUCUACUCCUGAAGAGAUUAUUAUACCCUAUUUCUAUAUUGUGUAACAUACUUUAUUGGGACAUUCCUUUCCUCAAGGAAUCUUAAGUUGUUUUCAGCCUUUUCCUAGUACAAGCACUGUUGUAAUAAAUGACCUUGGAUACCUGUUACUUCAUGUACAGAUCAUUUAAUCUCCUUCUGGAAUAAGAUAGCUGUGUGUCUUAUAAAUAAUUAAUAUUAUAUUUUAUGUUGUACCACAGUGGUAUUUAUGAAUUAAAAAAAAUUUAACACCAGAGCUGAAUUAAGUUAAGAUGAAAUUGAGCCUGACUUGAAUAGAUAUAAUUUGAAUUCUUUUUUAUUCUUUGGUGUUUUUGGUUUUUCUUGUGACAUGGCAUUAUUUACUUAGGUGGAUGUUGCAAAUUAUAUUAUGUUAGUGUUAUUCUUAGUUACUGUUGUCUUUAGUACUAUGUUCUUAGAGGUAAAAAUGUUGGAAGGGUAUUUUCUAUGUGAAAAUUAAAAUAAUUGAUAGUAAAGUGUUAAUAUUUAAAAAUGUUAUACAAGAGAUGAAAUGUUACUAGGACUGCUGGGCUCUGCUCAUUAGUGAGUGUGUCCUCAGUGAGCAAUUUCAUGUUGCACAUUAUAAACAUUUACUAUGCACGUGGAUUUUCAUUUCAGCUUUUAAAAAGAACAUACCUUUUGCAUGGAGUAUUGAUUUCCUGUGUAUCACAUCUAAAAGCCAUGCAUUUAGGAGAAAUUUUUACUUCUUUCAAAUAACUAAUGCCUUUGUUCUGGGCUUUCAGUCUGUGGUUACAUGUGCCCUGUGUACUUUUGCUGUAUUUUCUCCCAUACAGCCAGAUGGCCAGUUGAAACAGCCUAUACAACACUGGCAGUUACAGCAGAUGUUGUCUUUACUACUCGUGUUCACAGAUGAAAAAAAUGAGGAAAGAGAAAUGUAUUUGUUUCCUGUCCUCCUUUGGUCUGUUAGUGCUGUAAAUUUUUGUUUGUUUUAAAGAUAGGGUCCCAUGUAGCCCAGGCAGGCCUUGAACUCCCUAUGCAGCUUUAGAUGACCCUUGAACUUCUGAUUCUCCUACCUCUACCUUCCAAACUGGAACUACAUCUAGUGUGUUCAGUGCUGGGAACUGAACCCAGUAUUGUGUUCAUGCUAGCUAAUCACACUGAUGCCUGAGCCACAUACCUAGCCCUGUGUCUGUAAUAUUUUUAUAUUUAAAAGAUUUUAACUUUAAGCCAGUUUUGGUGGCUUAUAACUUUAAUUCUAGCACUUGGGAGUUUGAGGAUUAUCAUUAGUUCAAAGCUAGUUUGGGUUGCAGAGUUCAACAGCCUCCCCUUUAAAUUUUAGGGCUGGAACAAUUGCCUAACAUAUAUAAGAUCCUAGGUUCAGUCCUCAGAACUGUCAAAAACUUAAUAAUAAAACUAAUUUUAUUUUGUUAUGCUAGUUACAUUUGAGAACUGUAAUAGCAACUAAAUGAUAUUUGAACUUAGUUUUCCUUCAGACACAUUUUUUUCUGAGCAGUUAAUGCUUGGUGCAGAUUCCAUCAAACUCUUCUUUUUGCUUAUUACUAAACAGAAAUAAACACACAUGGAAACAUACAUUUGGCAAAAAAACUUGUUUAAUUGAUUUUAAUGUGUAUGUGAUUUUAUUUAUAACUGUAAAUUGCUUUUUCACUAAAUAAUAUAUCCUUGAUCUUUCCUAACUAUGUAUUUAGAUCUACUUUCAGGUUUGUUUGUUGGUUUUGUAGCCCAGGGUAGACUUGAACUCAGUUUGUAUCCUAAAGUCCUUCCAAGAGUCUGUUUCUGCCUCCCAAGAGUUGGUUGGUAUUAGAGAUCUUUGCUACCCUAAAACCUACUUCUAGUUUUUAGGUUUUACCCCUGACCCCAUCUCCGCCCAUGUGUAUGUCAAACCCAGAGCCUGUGCAUGUUAGGUAAGUAUCCCCCUACAAGAGCUACAAUCCUAGCCUAUGAGUUGUUUUCCCCAAACUGUUUAAUGUAUUUCUUAGUUUAAGAAAUAUAAAUGGCCUGUUUUUGUUUCUUUUCUUUUUUUCUUUAUAAGUAGAAAUUCUAGGCCUGGUGUGGUACAGGAGGCAGAGGCAGUCAGGUCUUUUUGAAGUCAAGAUCAGCCUACUCUAUAUAGAGUUCCAGGCCAACCAGGGUUACCUAGUGAGACCUUGUCUAACACAAAGAACUUAUUACAUUAAGAAUGGAAGGGAAUUUUAGAAUAUAGUCUCCCAGGAAUAGGCUGAGUAGAUCAGUAAGGGGUGUCCACCUUCAUCAUCUGAGGCAUCUGUGUUUUGCAAGGUGGAAGUACUUCUCUCUGACAAAUAUUUUAAAUGGUAGAGUAUGUAUAUUUUAACUCAGUGUAGAAAUAAAAUAGGUGUUGUAUAAAUAUAAAGUAAAUGGAAGAUACCGGACUAAGGGCAAUUUUAGUGGAAGCUGAUUAGCUUGUUAGUACAUCUGAACGUGUAAAUAGAGCUGUGUUGUUUGUUUGAAGCCAAGAGUUAGUUGUAUUGUUUCUUAUCCUGGCAGUUGUACAGGCUAAAUGAAAGCUUGGAUGAGAGCAGUUAAUCCCUUUAGUGUGGACAGCAUGUUUCCUCUUAGGACACAACCUUGGCCUCUUGGGUUUAGGAGAGAGCUUGUCAGUUGCAGGAUUGUGCAUAUAUGAACUCACAAAGACUGGCAGCAUCCACAGGGUUGGUCUAAGUCAGAUGGAGCCUCAGCACUGAGAGGGGGAAGUUGACACAAGCCCUAAACCUAUCCCAGUAUCUCCAAUUGAUAACCUCUCACAAAGGAAAAAUAAAUUUUCUCCAGUGAAGUCUUACUGAGUAUACAAACCACUAUUAAGGACAGAUCCCAUGCCCAGCAGUCGAUGACUAACACAAAACAAACUCAAUGGCAUUUCUGGAAGAUCUUUGUCUCAUAAUGCUCAACCCUGCUGUGUUUGGAAGGCUUUGUUUCCUUGGUGUACUCCAUCCCUUUUGGCUCUUAUACACUUUCUGCCUCCUUUUGCGGUGUUUCCUGAGCCCUGAAAGGAGGCAUUUGAUGGAGACUUCCCUCUUAGGACUGAGUGUUCUGACGUCUCUCACUCUACACCCAGUCUAGCUGUGGGUCUCUGUAUUUGUUCCCAUCUGCUGCAAGAACAAUGAUGGCUGAACAAGGCACUGAUCUAUGAAUAUAGCAGAAUAUCAUUAGGAGCUAUUUUAUUCCUUUAGCAGAACAGUGGUAUUUGGAUUUCACCUAGAUCCCUGUCCUCUCAGGUUCUUGUCUACUCAAGCAGUGUCACACAUGGAUUCCAUCUUAUGUAGGGUCUUAAAUCCUAUCAGAUAUUACUUGAUUACUCCUACAAGCUUUGUGCCACAAUUACUCCAGUGCAUCUUGUAAGCAGUUCACUGUUGUCAAUGGAAGGGUUUAUGACUGGGGUGGUGUUUCCCAUUCUCCUCUGGUAGCAUGCAGAGUACCUUCCAGUAUCAUGAACCCUAUAGUAGAGAUGAAGACUCUUAGGCACCAGCUCAACUUCUCCCUGUUCAAUAAGGUGUGCAAGUGCUGUCUUCAACAAUGGGGCCUUACCAUCAGUUUGUGGGGAGCAACCAAAAACCUUGGCAAUAUGCUGGGUUGUGUGAGGAUGUCCUUGGGUCCCCUUUGGCCAAAAACUCAGUUAGAUUUUACCCUUUCCUGCAACUGGAAGUUUCAUUUAGUGAUGAGAUGUUCUAUUGGGAUUUGUAGUUUCUCACUUGAGCUGUUUUAGGACCUAGUUCUGUUUCUGACUUUGGCCCUAUUACUCAGGAAGUCUGGAGAACUUAUACUAACGGACAAACUGGUCUUUUUUUUCCCUCAGUUCCUGUUGAAGUGUAGAGCCCUACCAAGUUAUUUAACUUCCUUGAAUUAUUCCUGAGUGUACAUGAUGAGAAUUUAGGGAGAUCUAAUAAACAACUUGUUAAUUUAUUAUGGGUAUAUGGAAAAGCCUUACAUUGUAGGCCAGUGCUGAUAAAGGUUAUGCAAACCUUUCCCAGCACAACAGCCUAUGCAGGGUCCAGAGAGCUGUAUAGGUUCUGCUCAAACCUAUAACUAGGCUUUGAGAGAUGGGGCUAUGCUGCCUGUUUGCAUAUGUUGAUAGAGUUAUGCAAAUACAUUUGUACUGUGUAGAUGAUGGCUUUUAAAGUUGGUAGGACUUGAGAAAGGAAGCAUAAACUACAAGCUUCUUUUAAAAUGGUACAAGCUAUUUUGUAUAAAAAUGCUUAUGGAAUAUAUUUUUGUAGAGCUGGGGAUGGGAACAGUAUGAAACUUGCACUUGAUUUCCCUAGAGGUUACAACUUUGGCUUUUCCUUUGUAGGGGAAUUAAACAUUCUAACUUUGACUAUAUUUCACUACAUUACUUACAAGUAAUAAUGGUACUACAUGUUGAGCUAAUCACUUUUCAAAAAAGAUUUAUUUAUUUAUUUAUAUAUAUAGUGUUCUGCCUGCAUGUAUGCCUGCACGUCAGAGGAGGGCACUAGAUCUCAUUACCAAUGGUUGUGAGCCACCAUGUAGUUGUUGGGAAUUGAACUCAGGACCUUUGGAAGAGGAGCCAGUGCUGUUAACCACUGAGCCAUAUCUCCAGCCCCAUCACUACUUAUUCUUGACAAUUUUGUGUUUAUCUGUAGUGCAUGGCACUAAUUGUUUUCCUUUAUGAUUUUGGAGCAAAUGUCAAAACAAGCAUUCCAUUCUGACAUACAUUUUUUGUUUGUUUUGUUCAAGAUAGGGUUUCUCUGUGUAGCUUUGGAGCCUAUCCUGGCACUCGCUCUAUAGACCAGGCUGGCCUCAAACUCACAGAAAUCCACCUUCUUCUGCCUCCCAAGGGCUGGGAUUAAAGGUGGGCUCAGCGCCUGGCUCAGGGUGUAUUUUAUUGAGGAUAAAUUUAGUAUUUUUUUUUUUAAAAAUGGUUUACAGCACUUUGCUGAUUUCAUUCUUACCAUGAGAAUUAUAAUUGUAGAUUUAAAAAGUUCCUAUAAACACUUUUGAAAAGAUGCAGUUGCUCUCAAACCUUUACUUUGUGAGAAGGUAUCUGCUUUUGGUUCUUUGAAAUAAUCUAGAAGAGGUCUUCAUGUGCAUUGGUUGAUAGUAAAGGAGAAUGCCUUGUUUCUAGGGUCCUGAUGAAGAAGCCGUUGUAGAUCUUGGCAAAACUAGCUCAACCGUGAACACCAAGUUUGAAAAAGAAGAACUAGAAAGCCACCGAGCUGUGUAUGUCGGUGUUCAUGUACCAUUUAGUAAAGAGAGUCGUCGGCGACACAAGCAUCGAGGGCAUAAGCAUCACCACCGGAGAAGAAAAGACAAA
Non-coding RNA from Cricetulus griseus (Chinese hamster), 7771 nucleotides. Lineage: Eukaryota; Metazoa; Chordata; Mammalia; Rodentia; Cricetidae. The record is from RefSeq and is a predicted model, not a curated record.